CGUAGGUGAACCUGCGGAAGGAUCAUUAUUGUAUAACCGAGGUGCGAGGGCUGUCGCUGACCCGAAAGGUCGUGCACGCCCGAGUGCCCUCACACGCAUCCAUCUCACCCCUAUGUGCACCACCGCGUGGGUCCCCCUUUGGCUUGUUCGGAGGGGGGCUUACGUUUUCACACAAACUUUGUAUGCAGUGUAGAAUGUAUUUUUUGUUUUUGCGAUCACGCAAUCAAUACAACUUUCAACAACGGAUCUCUUGGCUCUC
RNAcentral lists this unclassified non-coding RNA (259 nucleotides) under plant metagenome. Its description in RNAcentral is "partial contains small subunit ribosomal RNA, internal transcribed spacer 1, and 5.8S ribosomal RNA". The record is from RNAcentral.